GAUGAACGCUGGCGGCGUGCCUAAUACAUGCAAGUCGAGCGAACAGACGAGGAGCUUGCUCCUCUGACGUUAGCGGCGGACGGGUGAGUAACACGUGGAUAACCUACCUAUAAGACUGGGAUAACUUCGGGAAACCGGAGCUAAUACCGGAUAAUAUAUUGAACCGCAUGGUUCAAUAGUGAAAGACGGUUUUGCUGUCACUUAUAGAUGGAUCCGCGCCGCAUUAGCUAGUUGGUAAGGUAACGGCUUACCAAGGCAACGAUGCGUAGCCGACCUGAGAGGGUGAUCGGCCACACUGGAACUGAGACACGGUCCAGACUCCUAAGGGAGGCAGCAGUAGGGAAUCUUCCGCAAUGGGCGAAAGCCUGACGGAGCAACGCCGCGUGAGUGAUGAAGGUCUUCGGAUCGUAAAACUCUGUUAUUAGGGAAGAACAAAUGUGUAAGUAACUAUGCACGUCUUGACGGUACCUAAUCAGAAAGCCACGGCUAACUACGUG
Molecule: ribosomal RNA, 497 nt
Filed under: uncultured bacterium
Lineage: Bacteria
Description: partial 16S ribosomal RNA
Rfam family: Bacterial small subunit ribosomal RNA
Source: RNAcentral